Molecule: ribosomal RNA, 31 nt
Filed under: Verrucaria elaeomelaena
Lineage: Eukaryota; Fungi; Ascomycota; Eurotiomycetes; Verrucariales; Verrucariaceae
Description: partial 18S small subunit ribosomal RNA
Source: RNAcentral
UYUCGUAGGUGAACCUGCGGAAGGAUCAUUA